RNAcentral lists this ribosomal RNA (497 nucleotides) under uncultured bacterium. RNAcentral's name for it is "partial 16S ribosomal RNA". It matches the Rfam family "Bacterial small subunit ribosomal RNA", at positions 28 to 507 of the family's 1533-position model. The record is from RNAcentral.
GAUGAACGCUGGCGGCGUGCCUAAUACAUGCGAGUCGAGCGAACGGACGAGAAGCUUGCUUCUCUGAUGUUAGCGGCGGACGGGUGAGUAACACGUGGAUAACCUACCUAUAAGACUGGGAUAACUUCGGGAAACCGGAGCUAAUACCGGAUGAUAUUUUGAACCGCAUGGUUCAAAAGUGAAAGACGGUCUUGCUGUCACUUAUAGAUGGAUCCGCGCUGCAUUAGCUAGUUGGUAAGGUAAUGGCUUACCAAGGCAACGAUGCAUAGCCGACCUGAGAGGGUGAUCGGCCACACUGGAACUGAGACUCGGUCCAGACUCCUACGGGAGGCAGCAGUAGGGAAUCUUCCGCAAUGGGCGAAAGCCUGACGGAGCAACGCCGCGUGAGUGAUGAAGGUCUUCGGAUCGUAAAACUCUGUUAUUAGGGAAGAACAUAUGUGUAAGUAACUGUGCACAUCUUGACGGUACCUAAUCAGAAAGCCACGGCUAACUACGUG